This 413-nucleotide ribosomal RNA is filed under the name Triticum aestivum (bread wheat). Its description in RNAcentral is "partial small subunit ribosomal RNA". The record is from RNAcentral. Lineage: Eukaryota; Viridiplantae; Streptophyta; Magnoliopsida; Poales; Poaceae.
UCACCUUGGAGGUUCGAACGCCGCCACGGGACCUCCACCGGCCAGAUCCGGCGCCUCCCUCCCGGAUCCGUGCGCCCUGCACCUCCUCUACCCGAUCUGGCGCCGCCCAACCUGCCAUGACCUCCACCAUGGAGCUCCUGUAGCUCGUCCCCUGCCUCCUCUUCAUGUGCUCGAGGGAGACGCGCCUCCAGCGCAUCGAGCACAAGGCGCAACCGCGCCAAGGUCUACCCCGGCCACCUCUGCGUCCAGCCGGCCUAGCCCGGGUCCCUGCAGUUAUUUGUCAUUGGAUACUUUAGAAACAUUCUGUAAAUUGGUAUCAGUUGCACACUUUUUGUUUAUCUCCGUAUCUAUGAUGAUUACCCACUCCAAAGCAUCCCCGCGUUAAUCUGGAAUAAAAGGAGAAGAGCAGAACC